GCGGGGCCCGAGGGGCUGCGGCGGCGCUGCGGGCGGGCGGGUGCCGACCCCGCGCGCACCCGCUGACCGGCGCGGCCGGCGGCCCGGCUGGCCACUGCGGGCGCCUCGCCUGCGGGGCCGCAGCUGCCGCGGAGAUGAGUGCGGUGUCGGAACCGCAGGCCCUGUCCAGCACCCCGGAGAAGCCGCCCGUCUCGGCCAUCCUCUGCCGCACGUGCGGGGCGCCCUGCCGGGGCGAGGUGCUGCGCGUGCAGAGUCAGUACUUCCACAUCAAGUGCUUUGUGUGCAAAGCCUGCGGCUGCGACCUGGCCGAGGGCGGCUUCUUCGUGCGACAGGGCGAGUUCAUCUGCACCAGCGACUACCAGCGGCUCUACGGCACGCGCUGCUCCAGCUGCGAGCAGUUCAUCGAGGGCGAGGUGGUGUCAGCGCUCGGCAGGACCUACCACCCCCGCUGCUUCGUGUGCGCCACCUGCCGGCUCCCCUUUCCACCUGGGGACCGUGUGACCUUCAACGGAAAGGAAUGUGUGUGCCAGAAGUGCUCCCUGCCCAUCGCGGCAGCAAGCGGCACGCACCCGGCCCAGGGCCUCUGGAGCUGCGGCGGCUGUGGCAUGGAGAUCAAGGAUGGCCAGUCCCUGGUGGCCCUGGACCGCCACUGGCACCUGGGCUGUUUCCGGUGCCAGGCCUGCGGGACGCAGCUGAACGCGGAGUACAUCAGCAAGGACGGGCUGCCCUACUGCGAGGCCGACUACCACACCAAGUUCGGGGUGCGCUGUGAAGGGUGCGGCAAGUUCAUCACUGGGCACGUGUUGGAGGCCGGCGACAAGCACUACCAUCCACUGUGUGCAGUGUGUGUGCGCUGCGGCCGCACCUUCGCGGAGGGCGAGGAGAUGUACCUGCAAGGUUCCUGCAUCUGGCACCCGGCGUGUCGCCAGGCUGCCCGCACAGAAGACAGAAGCAAGGUGCAGAACCCGCUCUGCAGUCUGGGGUCCCCGGGCAGUGCGCCCUCUGCCUUACAGGAAACCAGGACUUCCUCUGAGAGCAUCGUCUCUGCCCCCGCCUCCAGCACGUCAGGGUCCCCGAGCCGAGUCAUCUAUGCGAGGCUGGGCGACGAGAUCCUGGACUACCGGGACCUGGCAGCGCUGCCUCGGAGCAAGGCCAUCUACGACAUCGACCGGCCCGACAUGAUCUCCUACAGCCCCUACGUCAGCCCCGCGCUCGCGCCCGGCCGCAGCAGCAGCCAGCCUGCGCAGGUGCCCUCGCCAACACCGACAGAGGGGGACCAGGACGAGCGUUCCUGCAAGCAGUGUCGGACGUCCAGCCCCAGCUCCACCGGCUCGGUCAGCCUGGGCCGCUACACCCCCACCUCCCGCUCGCCCCAGCACGGCAGCCGCGCAGCUGGUACUGUGAGUGUUGGUACCAGUAGCUGCCCGUCCCAGUCCCGACACCCCAGCCCCACCUCCGCCUUCAGGCACCAUUACAUCCCCUACUUCCGAGGCAGUGAAAGCGGCCGGAGCACCCCCAGCCUCUCGGUGGCCUCUGACGGGAAGCCCCCCCAGCCCACCUACCAGCAGGCCCCGCGACACUUCCACGUCCCAGAGACCGGCGUCAAAGACAACAUCUACAGGCGGCCCCCCAUCUACAAGCAGCACGGUCCCUUGGCCCAGUCCCCAGUGUCCAAGCUCUCGGGUCUGAUGUCAGUCUUGUCCCUGGUGGUGCGUGGGGCGGGGUACCCCAAAAGGCUGGAAGGCCCCAGUCCUCCACAGGCCACAGCUGCGAGGCGCCUGGAGGGAGACGAUGGCAGCUUCGCAGUGGACGGCAGGAAGAAGGCCAGCUGGCUACUUCUCAAGGACGACGUGGACACGAGGACAAGUUCCCCAGAGUUGGCCAGCCAGUGCCCAUCCCAGGACAGCGGGGCCGACCGGGACACACUGCAGGCGAUGCCAGGGGACACUUUUUACUCGCGACGCCCCCCCUCCAAACCCGACCCUCUCCCGGGACAUGGAAUCAGUGGUCUGGACCACCGGAAUGCCAGUGCGGCCCCCUGGGGAGCAGACCCGGAUGCUGGCUGGGGCAUGCGAGAAUACAAGGUAAGGAUGGCCAUGACAGGGACCUGGUCCAGGACCCCAUGCCCAGCGCUGAGCUGCCCCCUGCCCCCAGGUGUACCCGUAUGAUGCGCUCAUCGUGACCAACCGACUUCGCGUCAAGCUGCCCAAGGAUGUGGACCGGACGAGACUGGAGAGACACCUGUCGCCGGAGGACUUCCAGGCCGUGUUCGGGAUGAGCGCCGCCGAGUUCGAGCGCCUGGCCCUCUGGAAGAGGAACGAGCUCAAGAAGAAGGCGCUGCUGUUCUGAGGCCCCGCCCCGCCGCGGCCGGCCCCGCCCCGCCCCGCCCCGGCCGGCCCCGCCCCGCCUCGCCCCGGCCGGCCCCGCCCCGCUCCGGCAGGCCUCGCCCCGUUCCGGCAGGCCCCGCCCCGCUCCUGCAGGCCCCGCCCAGUUCCGGAUGGCCCCGCCCAGUCUCGGCCGCCCCGCCCCUCUCCGUCCCGCCCGGCGCGGCUAGUACCUACCCAGCGGGCGGGCGCCGGGUGCGGGGCGCGCUCCCCGGCUUCUGCGCUGUCGCCUGCCCGUAGCUCAGGGCCGCGAGCCGCGCUGGCCCGCCCGUUCCCGCCCGCUCGCCCCUGCUCGCCCGCGUCGGGUGGCGGCGGCUCCGCAGAGGCUCCCGGGCCGGGCCGGGCGCGCCGAGCGCCGGACGCCCGAGCUCAGGCCGACGUCGCGGGGAGCCAGUCGCCUCAGCCCCUGUGUGUGUCUGUCCACGUCAGCCCUGCCCACCCGGGCCUGGAAGCGCUUCUGACUAACGGGGUCUGAUUCGGUUAGGACGCCCGGCCCAGGCGCCUCCCCCGCCUCUGAGCUCCCUCUGGCCCCGGGACCCCGUCCGUCUCUGCCCUUGUCCUUCCCGCCUGUCACACCGCACGUCUGCGUGAGGAGAGCCCCUGCUGUCGUCAGGGCUUGGGGAGAACCCCGGGGUAACGGCUGCUGCCCCCCAGCCCUCUCAGAAACGGAGCCCCCCCCCCGCCCCUCCUCGCCUUCCCGUGUCUUGGGAACUGGAUGCACGGCAGGCAGCCCCCGACAGCCAUGCCGGGCCCAGGACGUCCGUGAAGUGUGUCAAGCGUCUCAGGACCCCCGGAGGGGACCCAGAGGCCGGGUGCCCGGUGGGCAGUGCACCCCGCAGCCCUGGCGCCCCCGCCUGCCCCGCGCUGUGUCCGCCGCUCAGCCAGGGGCGCUCAAGCUCCCACGCGCUUCCGUAGUCGCUGCUUUGAGCCACUGUGCCCGGCCCUGUUUCUCCCCAGGGUGAUGUCACGGGGUCCUGGGCAAUAAAGACGGUGUCGGCCACUGGG
Sorex araneus (European shrew) is the source of this 3389-nucleotide RNA transcript. It is a transcript of the gene named actin binding LIM protein family member 2, with no coding region annotated. The record is from RefSeq and is a predicted model, not a curated record. The transcript is spliced from 23 exons. NCBI's taxonomy places the organism in Eukaryota, Metazoa, Chordata, Mammalia, Eulipotyphla, Soricidae.